AAAAGCCAGCACCCGGCUGGCUAAAGUAAUACUGGAAGCAAUGUGAGCAAUGUCGUGCUUUCAGGCUUUCCGCAAGGGUCUCCCUGAAUGC
This 91-nucleotide non-coding RNA is filed under the name Klebsiella pneumoniae subsp. pneumoniae NTUH-K2044. Lineage: Bacteria; Pseudomonadati; Pseudomonadota; Gammaproteobacteria; Enterobacterales; Enterobacteriaceae. RNAcentral also lists the same sequence under 1 other name. The record is from RNAcentral.